GUGGAUUAGAUACCCUGGUAGUCCACGCCCUAAACGAUGUCAACUAGGUGUUGGGGGAGGAGACUUCCUUAGUACCGCAGCUAACGCGUGAAGUUGACCGCCUGGGGAGUACGGUCGCAAGAUUAAAACUCAAAGGAAUUGACGGGGACCCGCACAAGCGGUGGAUGAUGUGGAUUAAUUCGAUGCAACGCGAAAAACCUUACCUACCCUUGACAUGCCAGGAAUCCUGGAGAGAUUUGGGAGUGCCCGAAAGGGAACCUGGACACAGGUGCUGCACGGCUGUCGCCAGCU
RNAcentral lists this ribosomal RNA (291 nucleotides) under uncultured bacterium. Its description in RNAcentral is "partial 16S ribosomal RNA". It matches the Rfam family "Bacterial small subunit ribosomal RNA", at positions 773 to 1060 of the family's 1533-position model. The record is from RNAcentral.